UUUAGUGGAUUUGGAUCACCUAUUUUAUCAUGCUCUGUUGAAAACGGGUACCAAUGUUCAACCCACCUUCACCCCACUCUUCUAUAUAAACUUGCCUAGCGAAGCAAAGAAGCCCUUAAAAGUUUCCGGAAAAAGUCUUCAAUCCGGCUUCAUCUCUCUCUCCGGCGCAUCUACCACGCGUGCUCUCUAUUUGGCACUAUCUUUUCGCACUAAACAAAGGUUAUUCCCAGGACCAGUUUAUCAGUAUUUUGGACGUAGGGUUUGGGCUUUGAUCCCGGCUUAAAGAGUCUGGACUCCGGAGAUGUCGCCUCAGUCUUCGGGACUGUUUCUUCAACCUAUCCCCGUUCUUUGGAUUGAGUAGUGUCGGAAAAUAGGUGUAACAUCUCUUAACCUUUCAAGGUCAAUAUACAUCUUUGCUUUAUGGCUGAUAAUGUAGUUCAUAUAACUACAUUCCAGUCCAAAGCAAAUUUUCAUUAUUGCCUUUGUGUUUUUGAGGGUGAAAGUUUUCACCGCCUUUGUGUGGAUAAUGUUCAGCAAGAGACCUAAAGGCAGAGCUGCAACAAAUAUUAAGGGAUUUAAAGACGUUAAACACUUAUAAUGAGACAGACGAAACGCCCCUCCUUAAAGACGUUAAACACUUACAAUGAAACAGACGAAACGCCUCUCAUUCAGUUGACGGAAACAAAGCGCCUCUUUCUCAGUUGACAGAAAGGAAGCGAAAUGCCUCUCCUUCAAUGAAAACGAAGCGCCUCUCCUUCAAUGAAAACGAGGUGCCUCUCCUUCAACAAAAACGAAGCCCUCUCCUGUACAAAAAAUCAAAAGGAAGCGUCCCUCCUCCAGUUGACAUAAACGAAAACGAAGUGCCUUGCCUUCAACGAACAAAGUGCCUCUCCUUCAGUUGCCGGAUGACUGAAAUUAAGCGCCUCUCAGUUUGUUUAGAAAAUUUGAUGACCUCGAAGUGAGGUUUUCUUUUUCCCUUUGUUGGAUGAGGAUGGGGUGAGUCGGGCUCUUAGAGGAGUGCCUCUACCAACUGGGCUACCGGCUCACCCCGCUAAGUCGGGUUGUGCAUCAAAAAAUGUCCUCGGAACUCCAAAGAUGAAUGUGGUUUUAAAGGAAGCCAUUUUUUUUUUUGGGGUUUCAGACAUGAUUAUCGUUGUAUUGUUUAUUCCGGCUGCGCGUGUUUCAGUUGUAUCUUGAUCUAAUGUUUUUUGUUGGUUGAAGUUGGUUUCAUCUUCCUUUGAA
This is a long non-coding RNA of Cornus florida, 1242 nucleotides long. RefSeq lists it as uncharacterized. The transcript is spliced from 5 exons. The record is from RefSeq and is a predicted model, not a curated record. Lineage: Eukaryota; Viridiplantae; Streptophyta; Magnoliopsida; Cornales; Cornaceae.